UAAGGAAUAUUGGUCAAUGGACGCAAGUCUGAACCAGCCAUGCCGCGUGAAGGAUGAAGGUCCUCUGGAUUGUAAACUUCUUUUAUAUGGGACGAAACCUCUUUUUCUUGAGAGACUGACGGUACCAUAGGAAUAAGCACCGGCUAACUCCGUGCCAGCAGCCGCGGUAAUACGGAGGGUGCAAGUGUUAUCCGGAUUCACUGGGUUUAAAGGGAGCGUAGGAGGGCAGGUAAGUCAGUGGUGAAAUCUUCGAGCUUAACUCGGAAACUGCCGUUGAUACUAUCUGUCUUGAAUACCGUGGAGAUGAGCGGAAUAUGUCAUGUAGCGGUGAAAUGCUUAGAUAUGACAUAGAACACCAAUUGCGAAGGCAGCUCGUUACACGAAUAUUGACUCUGAGGCUCGAAAGCGUGGGGAUCAAACAGGAUUAGAUACCCUGGUAGUCCACGCCCUAAACGAUGGAUACUCGACAUACGCGAUACACUGUGUGUGU
This 490-nucleotide ribosomal RNA is filed under the name uncultured bacterium. Its description in RNAcentral is "bacterial SSU rRNA". It matches the Rfam family "Bacterial small subunit ribosomal RNA", at positions 355 to 846 of the family's 1533-position model. The record is from RNAcentral.